This is a long non-coding RNA of Oncorhynchus gorbuscha (pink salmon), 2388 nucleotides long. RefSeq lists it as uncharacterized. The record is from RefSeq and is a predicted model, not a curated record. NCBI's taxonomy places the organism in Eukaryota, Metazoa, Chordata, Actinopteri, Salmoniformes, Salmonidae. The transcript is spliced from 8 exons.
ACAGUUUGGGAACCACUGAUAUAGACCACGUAGAGCCUCGCACAAGACUGACUGAAAUUAAAAGGAUGUGUGCUGGCAAACGUAUUUUUUGUUCAUGAAUAAUUACAAAAAAAUACUCUGAUCAUAAUCGUAUCCAGAAAAUUGCCAAUUAUUUUUUGUUCAUGAAUAGGUACAAAAAAAUACUCUGAUCAUAAUCGUAUCCAGAAAAUUGCCAAUAUCCGUUAUGAUUCUAAUUUUGUCCAUAUACUCUGCACAUCCCAAAUUCACAGUUUCAACUACUUCAAGAAGUAAUGUUGCAGUCUAGCUCAGUGCUGCCCCCUCUCGUUGAGUAACUCGAGUUGAAGGCAGACCGGGGUACUGCAGGCUGCAAUUAGCAGCUAAAUUAUAACUUCUUCUGUGUGCAAUUUUAAAAUAAUUGUUUCAAAGACUUACAUCUGGUGUAAUAGAAGCAAUUUUUGGUACCAUGAUUGUCUUUGAUUUUGUUCUAUUUUUAUUCACAGAUAGACCACGAAGAUUGCCAUUUUCCUAUUCGCCAUUUUCCUAUUCGCGGUCGGCCUUGAACUUCAAUGAAAGGGGGGAGUCCUUCUCCCCUGUUUAAAGCAGUGUGCGGAAGGGGUGGGGCUUUGUCUGACAGCUUCCAUUUGCAAGGGUGGAGACUACUUCCUAUUUGGCACAACAAAACUCUCAAUUGUUAACACGUUUGGGCCCAGAAGUAAAUAAGGAAGCUGACCAAAUUUCACAAUAAUUUACUUCUGGGAAACCUGAGAUCACCAAAAGGUGCAAGUUGCUCCAAAACAAUCCUCACCCAAGCACAUACAGGCACAUUAAACAACAAAGGGAACUUUUAACCAUGAAUACACAUAAAUAGACCAAAUUGUAAAUGUUAAACAUGAUUGCCUACAUUUUAUUUUAUUUUAAUUUUACCUUUAUUUAACCAGGCAAGUCAGUUAAGAACAUAUUCUUAUUUUCAAUGACGGCCUGGGAACAGUGGGUUAACUACCUGUUCAGGGGCAGAACGACAGAUUUGUACCUUGUCAGCUCGGGGGUUUGAACUCGCAACCUUAGGCUACGCUGCCGCCCCAGAGGAUAAUGCGAACUUUAUUACGACAAGACAAAUCAUCAUCCAGUUGGACACCUGAUGAACUUCCACAAACUUCAGGGUCUGGGGUGAGAACUUGCUUUUGUAGUCUACUCAAUCUGAUUCCCCGCAAGAAAUGUAGAAUUCUGAGCAAUCUUCAUCCAGUUGGACAACUGAUGAGAUCACCAACCAGGAUCUUCAGGGUCUGAGAUGAUAAAUUCAGCUACUGUGCUGCUGGAGCCGACUUAACCGGAUUCCCCUUUAAAACAGGAACCUUAUGUUCCUGGACCUUACUGUGUCUCUUUGCUCCACCAUUACGCCUGAUGUCAGCAUUCAGGUGGCAAGUGGCUCGGCAGCAUACUGUAAAGCAUUAUGGGAAACUGGAGGAGUUUGUGACUUUGGUGACAGAGGUGGUUCCAGAGCUGCUGAGUUCCAGGCAGAGGACCCAACUCCUCCUGGGUCUGAGAGCAAGGGUUUGUGAGGUGGAAAUGCAAAGGAUUCUGAUAAACUGGUUCUGGAGUUGUGACUCAGGGAGAGCACCGGUGACCUUGUCCAUCCAGCUUCACCUGGACAAAAUCCAUUUGUUAACAGAAUACGCUAUACACAAGAAGAGUAAUGAUGAUGAGUUAGAGGCUACAGUCUAACUUUGUGGAGUUGGUCCGAACUCUGCUGGGAGACCCUUCUGAGAGGGAGCACUUCUUCAGGAGGUAUUCCCAGUACAUUACGGCCCUCGGCAUGACACAGCACUGCAGGUUAUUUCUCUUACUACACUGCAGAUACCAUCCUGUCCCUCCCUCCAACAAUAAGAGUUGUCAUUAGCUCGGAGCAGGCCAGCUCUGACAAAAUGAGGUCAUGCUCAGAUGGAGAUAAAUGCUUCAAGAAUGGGACAGAUAGAGAGGACAAUCUAAUGGGGUCAGAGAGGAGGAAAAAGAUAAGGCAGACUGAAGAGGACUUCUGGUCCGUGUAUCCCAGUACCCAGCAACGGCAAGGAAAUUCAAGUAAUUACGAAAAUAUUUGACUUCAUUUUACAGCAUUAUUAUCACUGUUAUUUAUCUGGUAUUUAAAAUGAAAUUACUUAACAAUUGGUACCAUAGAAAAGCGGCCAGUUUUUACCUGCACAGAGACUAUAUUAAAUGGAACUCAAUUUUUCUAGAAAAAUACCAUGAUUACUUAAGAUUCGUAAAUUUUAGUUUAAUAUAAAAUUACAAGUGAAGGAAACAUACUUUACACACACACAACACCAAGUCUGCAUCUACACAUUCAGCCCAAUUCAGAUUUUUUCCCCCCCACGAAUUGGUCUUUUUUUUACC